RNAcentral lists this unclassified non-coding RNA (400 nucleotides) under uncultured fungus. RNAcentral's name for it is "sequence contains ITS1". The stretch from base 1 to 103 matches the Rfam family "5.8S ribosomal RNA", at positions 50 to 154 of the family's 154-position model. The record is from RNAcentral. Lineage: Eukaryota; Fungi.
GAAAUGCGAUACGUAGUGUGAAUUGCAGAAUUCAGUGAAUCAUCGAAACCUUGAACGCACCUUGCGCUUGUGGUCACCCACAAGCAUGCCUGUUUGAGUGUCGUCAAUAUUUCUCACCACCAAGAGCCUCCCUGCUCUGGGAGGCUCGGCCGGGGAGGAGCUGAGCGUCUGCCAGUUCGGCAGUCGCUUGAAAUGGAGUGGGGACGAGAGCGGCGACUCGGCAAGCUCGAAUCGCUCCGCAGCCUGCGAGAUGUACUUGGCAUGCAAUGUCAUGAUUUUUACGCCUUGCGCUGAUUGGCGGCGGUACGAGAUCCCGUAACAUUCGCUGCGGCCCUCAAAAGGCUGCCUCCCCCCCCUCGGGUGACGGCGGCCAACUUUUCAAAACCUGCGACCUCAAAUC